CACACACUUUCCCUCCCCCCCCCCUCCAUCUCCGCACUUCCCUCCAAGUUAACGUAGCUGCAGCCGCCGUCUUUGCCACAGACCCCGGCGACGGAACGACUUCGGAGUUGUAAAUUCUGUCGCGGAUUGCGGCACUAAGGGGUCCGGCGGCCAUGUUGAGAGCGUGGGAGGACGAGGAGGAGGAGGAGAGAGGAGCAAGCGAGGAGCAAGCGAGGGGCAGCCGCAGUGAGACAAAGACGAACUUUGCGGCGAACCUGAGUCCGGGCCGCGCGGCGAGGAGCGAAGUCUCCCCCCCCCCCCGUUUUUGCCGAUGAGCCCCAGAAAAGUUCCCCCCCAAAUCAGGGCAAACGCGGGGGUCCCGAGCGCGUAACGCGAGUUGUGUUUACGCGCGGAGCGACAGAUUCUGCUGCUUGCUGCUGCUUGCUGUCGGUUGACAGGAGUCUGGGAAGGCAACGUAGGCCGAUGGACUAAGCAUCGAUUAUCACUCACUCCGUUACGAGGUUACCCAGUUGGAUAAUUCGUUGCGUGCGCGCUGCCACGAAACCCCCACGCGGCUCCCCAAGCGAAGGGGCGCGGGGCGCCAACCCGCCGCUCGUCGCAGUUGCGAGCGACAGUAAAAUAAUGCAACCGCUCUGACCUCAGUUUUGGCCGAACAUUUCCCAACCGAGUUGCGCGCGAGUUCGCGUUCGAGAGUCCAGUUGCACGCGACUCCCCCGGCGGUGGUGAUUGUUGGUGUUGAUGUUGGUGGUGGUGGUUGUUGUUGGUGGCGCGCUGCGCUAAGGAACCCGACGAUGAGCUGAAUCGGUCCUCCGUCUACCUCUUUGUCGUUGUUGAUGGUGGAGGUUGUUGAUGGUGGAGGUUGCAUGCAACUCGCGCUGAAAGACGGCGACUCUCAACCAUCGCCGACCCGCCGACAUAGAGUCCUGUACUUUAAUGGAACCACGAAAGAGCUAGCGCCUCUUUCUCUCUCUCUCUCUCCACAUUGAAACAAACGUGUAAUAAUAAUAACAACAGCGAUGGGUUCAUUCUGUUCGCGCAACAUAUCCUCUGCACGGUCAUCUCUGCGAGAGCAUCUUGUCGAGUGCGGAGUUGUUGUUGUUGUCGCUGCUUCAAAUCACAGUCGUUGAUUGCGCGAUCGCCUGAUCGGUUUCGCUAUUUCGAGCGGGCAGAGUCUGACUUGGGCACGCGAGCAGAUGCCCGGCGUGGACUGCCCGGUGUUUUAUAAUCGGCAAAGACGAAUGAAUGGGCACAGACGGCCAGGAAUGUUCGGUCGAGAGCGCGCAUUUAAGUCGUCAUUAUUAUUGUUGGAAUUUGUUAACAAGAGACGCCAACGGAACCGCCUCGACUUGGCGCUCGCGGGCGUCACUCAAACGGCGCUGAUUCUGAGCACGGGGAUUCUCCAUCAUUCGUAGAAUCGUGAGACGCGUGGAUGAAGAGAGAGAGAGAGGUGGUGGGUGGGAGGCUCUGAUGUGGUAUUAGGCGAAUGUAAUGUUGUCGUUAUUAUGUUUUGAUAUUAUUCUUGAAAGUAACAAUUAAAACGAAGAAGUCCCUACGACUAACGUGUGCAUUCUCUACAUUUUGGUUUUAUUUUUGUGAAAAAAACCCUCCAAAAUAAUGCGAUGAUACAAACAAAUUUCGGCAUGUUGCAUUUUCGGCAUGUUGCAUUAGCAUGUUGCAUGAGCAUGUUACAUUAGCUAAAACUCGUAUUGCGUUCGUGAGUAAGACACGUUUUGGCGUUUGGGGAAAUACAGUGCAGUACUUUAUACAACAAACGCGAUGUUUUUUUUUAGAAGUUAUGCACUGUAUUUAUGUGCAAGUAGCGUGUUACGCACAGACUAGGAAUACGGGUGCCUCCUUCACGAAUAAAAAGGGGCUUGAAGGUCAUGGAGAUAGUAAUACUCGAAGCAUUAAUAUUUUAAAUGUACGUACUUUUGAGACCCACGCCGGGUCAUGAGACUUCCUUUCUGCUGCGUUUCUUCUUUUAUAACGAGGUGCUGGUAAUGCAUUAAAACUGUAAAACCGCACAACUGUCAGCCCUCAUUUGUUUUCUAUAUACACACAAACACACACACAUAUAUAUAAUGGUUACGUGCCUUUAGUCACGGACACACAAACAACUGUGUGGAGUAUACUGCAUCACAUUACGUGCGAGGAGAGUUUAUAAAAUAUAUUCGUAACGUGACAUGAGUAAAUCAGAAUUCCUAAUCAGAAUAUUUAUUUGUGGAGGAAUCCGAUCAACUAUUAAGCUAUUUUUUUUUAAACAGAUGUCCAGUAGGUGCGGCCUGUGUAUUGCACUGCUAGCAAAAACACGCUAGCAGUGCAAUAUACAGGCAUGGCAAACAAAUCACCCAAAAACAUACAGAUUUAACUAAACCAUCCUACCGGGCAAAGCCCACCGUAGGUAUAAAACGUAUUCUUCCAGAAGCGGCCUUGCUAAAAAUUAUAGCUUCAACGAAGUGGCUCAUCAUCCUGCUCUCUCCUCUCGCAGUACUGAAAUCCACCCAACUGCUGUCUUACUGAGUGCGCAUCCAACGUGGUUGUUGCAGAAAGAUGAAGCAAAUUCACAGAUUUUAUAUAGAAUAACGGACGGUACCAUCAAA
Long non-coding RNA from Petromyzon marinus (sea lamprey), 2600 nucleotides. RefSeq lists it as uncharacterized. NCBI's taxonomy places the organism in Eukaryota, Metazoa, Chordata, Hyperoartia, Petromyzontiformes, Petromyzontidae. The record is from RefSeq and is a predicted model, not a curated record.